Molecule: long non-coding RNA, 6149 nt
Filed under: Sorghum bicolor (sorghum)
Lineage: Eukaryota; Viridiplantae; Streptophyta; Magnoliopsida; Poales; Poaceae
Description: long non-coding RNA (SBIC_LNC001174)
Source: RNAcentral
GCAGCACUUUUAUUUUGUGAUGUGUGAAUUUUUGUAAAAGAAAAUUUGUUCAAAAUUCAAUUUGAAUGAAGCUUUAAAAAUUAGUUUGAAAAAAAAGAAGAAAUCCAUCCCCCCGCUUUCGGCAAACUUGGCCCAAACCAGCCCAACGCCAGCACCCUCCUCUCCCCCUUCCUCUCUCUCACUGCCAGGCGGGGCCCGCCUGUCAUCCCUCUCCUCCCGCAACUGCUCCCUCCCUCUCUCUGUUCUCAGCACAACCGCCCGAGCCGCCCCGCUCCCACGUUCUUCACCCCUUCUUCCCCUGCGCCUCGGCUAUUUCGAACUGCACCCGCACCCGAGCCUUCAUCCGUGCCUCAAUUCGCUCUGCACUCGCCCCUGCCCCCGCUCGCUACGCGCAGUAGCCGUUGCAAGGACACCGCCGGCGACCUCUAUGCGAAAUCCAUCGGGCCAAGCCGUCCUCGCCGUUUCUGUCGCGCUGGUGAGCUCUCCUACCUUCCCUGCAUUCUUCUCGGCCAAGUCCUAGGCUUUUGCGUGCCCCUAGCCUCCCAGCCGCGAGCUCCGGCGAGCUCCAUGGCUGCCGGCCAUGGAGCGUGUCGCUCGGGUCUCUCCCCGGCCGCGCUGAGGGGAUGGGUGUGUUCGCAUCGUCCUUCUCUCCCCCCCGUGCUUUCGGAAUCGAAAACCGUGCACCGUAGCUCCCGAUCCAUUUGCGCCGGCGAGCUUUGGCCGGAAUCCAUGGCCACCGCCGUGUCUCUGCCACGCUCUGGCCGGUGUGCCACCCCCUCCCUCUCUCUCUUUUUUUUCUUUUUUUUUCUUUUAAUCAAGCGCAUCCAAGCUUGAUCCAACGGCCAUGAUUAGAACUUACCCCUUCGCGGGGAUUUUUAUUAAAGAGCCCCUCGACUUCAUAGAUAUAGAACCCGCAGUCCUCGGCCAACUCCAGAUCCAGAUUGAAAUUUGAUUUAAAUUUCAUUUUCGACUUCAAAUUAAUUACAGAAUUGCCACUUCAAUGUUUUGGCCAUAAAAUAUUCGUUUUAGCUCCGAUUUGACCCGUUCAAAUUGCGUUAGAUUCGUUUUUACGAGAUCUACAUGUUAGUAAUCUUGGUUCAUCAGUUUGAAAUAUUUUAAUUUUGUGACCCUAUUUAAUUAAUUACUUUUCUAAAGAAAAUCUUAGAAAAUUCAUAUCUUCUCUGUUUUAGCUCCGAUUCGAUCUGUUCAAGUUGUGUUAGUUUCAUAAUUUUAUAAGCUUCACGUUGGUAUCAUUGUUGCCUAGGUUCACCACUGUUAGAUUUCCUAGUUAAAUACAAGUCCGUAGAUAGCCUUUGCAGUCCCGUUUAAUGCGUAGAUUUCACGUCGUAACUCCGUUUUCCGUGAAUUUCCUGUUGACGUGAUCGUAGCAGCGUGUAGAUGAUUUUGGAAAACUUUUAUUAAAUUUAUUUACUGCUGGUGUACUGUUCUAAUUGCAAUCUUGUUUGCUUCGUGUAUGUCUGUCUUCGAUUGCUAGUGUGUUGACGAUUGGUGACCGAGUUUUGGUCAGUGGGCAUUACUUCGGUGAUCAAGGUCAGAGCCGUGGAAGCAAGUAAGAUCAGCAGGACUAGCAGGAGCAAUUUGAUUAAGGCAAGUAUAGCAUUUGGGUUUUAAUUCUAUGACUAUGAUCUUGUGACUAGACUAAUAUAAAGCAACAAAUGAUAAUAAUGACUUUUUAGCAACUUGAGGAUUUAUUCGUAAGUGAUAACCGGGAUGAAAGUGCAACCAUGAGGGCUAUAAUGGCUCUGGCUUUAGUCAAGUAUGAGUAACUUUUCUAGCUUGUUAGAGGUUACCCGUGUGGCGCAAAUGGGGGAUAGCAGACCGUGGAUCCCCUACGGGGUAGAAUCACAUGGAAUGACUACCGAAACCAAGCGGCCCUAACCUGUUAGACGAACCUUUGAAAGACUUCAUAGUGAUCCCUGCCGACCUACCUUGGUAGUGGGUUACGAGGCUGAUCACCUUAGGCGAAAGGGUAAAUCAUGACUCAUGGGUAAAGAUGUACAACCUCUGCAGAGUGUUAAAAACUGGUAUACUAGCCGUGCUCACAGUCACGAGCGGCCUUGGGAACUCUUACAUUAAGGGUGAUGAAUCUUGUGUUAAGAAACUCAUUGAUUAUUGUUUAAUGCUCUAUAUUAUUUAUGUCAUAUUGAUCAUGAGAUUGUGGGAUCNNNNNNNNNNNNNNNNNNNNNNNNNNNNNNNNNNNNNNNNNNNNNNNNNNNNNNNNNNNNNNNNNNNNNNNNNNNNNNNNNNNNNNNNNNNNNNNNNNNNAUAAGGGGUAUAUCAAAGAACAACGCAUAAAUUACAUAGCGUACAUAGUAAAUCAGAAACAACCUUAGGCAGCAAACCACGGAAUAUAACUCCAAAGUUCGGGUGUUAACUUCACUCUACAGGAUCCAACUGACUGGUUGAUCACAAGCCCAAUACUUCUCCUGAGGUGUGGGGGAGAUAGCAAGAGUGAGUCCAUGACGAACUCCGCAAGUAUAACAACUAGAUUGUAUAGAUCCCACAAUCUCAUGAUCAAUGUGACAUAAAUAAUAUAAAGGAGUAAACAAUAAUCAAUGAGUUUCUUAACACAAGAUUCAUCACCCUUAAUGUAAGAGUUCCCAAGGCCGCUCGUGACUGUGAGCACGGCUAGUAUACCAGUUUUUAACACUCUGCAGAGGUUGUACAUCUUUACCCAUGAGUCAUGAUUUACCCUUUCGCCUGAGGUGAUCAGCCUCGUAACCCACUACCAAGGUAGGUCGGCAGGGAUCACUAUGAAGUCUUUCAAAGGUUCAUCUAACAGGUUAGGGCCGCUUGGUUUCGGUACUCAGUCCAUAUGAUUCUACCCCGUAGGGGAUCCACGGUCUGCUAUCCCCCAUUUGCGCCACACGGGUAACCUCUAACAAGCUAGAAAAGUUACUCAUACUUGACUAAAGCCAGAGCCAUUAUAGCCCUCGUGGUUGCACUUUCAUCCCGGUUAUCACUUACGAAUAAAUCCUCAAGUUGCUAAAAAGUCAUUAUUAUCAUUUGUUGCUUCAUAUUAAUCUAGUCACAAGAUCAUAGUCAUAGAAUUAAAACCCAAAUGAUAUACUUGCCUUAAUCCAAUUGCUCCUGCUGGUCCUGCUGAUCUUACUUGCUUCCACGGCUCUGACCUUGAUCACCGAAGUAAUGCCCACUAACUAAACUCGGUCACCAAUCAUCAACACACAAGCAAUCGAAGACAGACAUACACGAAGCAAACAAGAUUGCAAUUAGAACAGUACACCAACAGAUCAAAAAUGAAAUAAAAUAUUUAAAAACAGAACCUACGUUUCGCUACGAUCACAUAGAUACGAAGAUCACGAAAAUCGGAGCUGAAACGACCAAAUUACGGAUUUACGGCGAUUUCCUAUAGCUAUUUAAUUAAUUAAACCUAACCCUGAAAUUAAAAAGUUGCAAACUACAUAAACAGUGGUACUAACAUGUAGAGAAUUUAAUUACGAAUCUAACGCAAUUUGAACGGGUCAAAUCGGAGCUAAAAUGAAUAUUUUAUGGCCAAAACAAUGCAAUGGCAAUUCUGUAAAUUUCUGAAAACGCCUUUUGACCUAAACCGACGCAAUUUACGUUUCCUAAACAGCAAAGCGUAUUUCUAACGAAUACGCUAAGGACAGCGGGUUGUUUUGGAAAAAACAUAGGGUCUCUUUAGCAAUUUUACCCUUGAAGUGGUACGGGGCGCCCUGGACCGUCCGAUUAGAACUCAACGGCCCAGAUCGCAAAAUGAGAAAGAGAGAGAGAAGCAGGGGGCGCGGCCGCCGGAGGGGAGGGAGGGCGCGGCGGCGCCGCCAUGGCCGCGGCGAGCAAGCUCGCCGGAGAACUCGCGCAGGCGCUACGGAGCUCGGUUUCACGAACUAAACACACCGGGAGAGAGAGGAGAUCGCGGCGAAUCCAACACGGGGCAUAACGCGUCCAGAGGGGCGGCUUUCAAGGAGGCCGACGGUGGCGCCCUGGCCGGCCCCGUCGGUGCUCCUAGGACAUCCACUAGAGGCGCUAAAAACCAAAGAAAAUGGGUCAGGGAAGGAGAGGGAGGUGGAGCGCGCUCUCCACGACGAGGAACGGGAGCAGAGGCGGCUCGGAACGGUGGCUUUCGUGCGGAGGGUCGCGGCGGAGCUCCGGCGUCGGGUUGCGCGCAGCAGGCGAAAACGGAGGCGAGGGGGGAAUGGGGAAGGGAGUGCUCGGACGCGCGGGUGCUCUCCUCUUGAAGCCGAAACGCGGGGGGGGGGAGAUCGUGGGCGUGGGGGGGCGCGGCUUGCGGUUCCUGAACUGAGAGAGGGGGAGGAGGCGGUUUGGAUGGAGGAGAGGGGAAGGGGGUAAGAGGGUGGCCGGCUGGGCCACGGCCCAGGAAGGGAGAAGGGGGGCGCGGGGUGGGCUGGGCCAGCAGGCCGAGAAGGAGGGGGGAACUGGAUUUCUUCUUCUCUUUUUUUCAAACUAAUUUUCAAAGCUUCUUUCAAAUUGAAUUUUGAAUAAAUUUUUUUUUACCAAAAUUCACACAUCACAAAAUAAAAGUGCUGCAGCAGGAAUGCAUCAAAAAGUUUUCUAAACUUAUAUUAAAUUUUAUUUUCCCAAAAUUUUAUUAUUUUUCCUAUAUUUUGAUGCUCACAAAAUUGACUCAAUAAAUCAAAUUCAACUAUUUAAAACAAGGGAAUUUUUAGGGUGUUACAAUUCUACCCCCCUUAAAAUGAAUCUCGUCCUCGAGAUUCGAAAGAGGCUCAGAUCCUCUAAGAGAAACAGGAAAAUAUCUUGAUAAUCCUUUCAACUUCACAACUUGCAUACCAAACUUAAGCACUUGUCUCAAGGUCACACCUCAUGAACAACAUUUCCAUUGAAUAACUAUUAUUCAUAGUUGACCGAAGUCCAUCUUGACUACUAAUCCUCUUAUCUUACAACUCCAAGAGACAUAGAAACUUAAUAUGCAUUUGCUUCAUCAGGUAGGAGUGGACCACCGUGAUACUCAAUUCUUUUUCCUGACGGUGCUGCUAAGAGCAUUUUGUACCGGGUACCAUAGAUCACUCCUUUGUGUGCACACAACCAUUCAUUACCAAGGACCAAGGGAAUACUAAGUGACUCUAGCACAAUGAGGUUUAUAGUGAAGUUUUCCUUGUUUACGACCAGAUUGAUAUUUGAGCACAACUGAUCUGCUUGUAUUUCUCCCAGUUGGGUUUGAACUAGUAAAGGCUUCUUCGUUGGACACUUUACCCUCUCGAUUGUCUUUAUGAGGUCGGUGGAAAUGAAAGAAUGCGAAGCACUCGGGUCAAAGAGAGCAAAAACUUGCACUGAGUCUACUUGAAUAUAGCCACCAACCACUUCGGUAGCUCCAUGAAUGUUAUGCCUAUCCACAUUGCUCAGUCUCCCAUUGAUAUAGUCUCGUUGCACCCUACUUCCAUGAGCAUACUUCUUACAGCUUUUCCUUUUUCUUUUUCGCCGUUGUGGAUUCUGAUUUGAUUCAUUUCCAACUUGCUCUUCAGUAUCAUUGUUUUGAUAGAACUCAGUUUCAUCACACUCAUAACAUCCAUCAAGGGUAGGAUCAUCAUUCUCUUCCCACGUAUCAGUAAGAGGCAUCAUAUAGGGCUCCUGAUCCAUGGGAUACUACACUCCCUGUCAUCAAGUUACCAACGUCAAUGACACGAGAAGGAGAGAUGAUCAUAUUCAUAGAAUAUCUCACGAGACAACUCUCACUUCAAGAUAAGUUGAAAAUGCAUCAACCCGUGAUAUCAAGGUUCUAUCCAAGCUUGAUCCAACGCCCAUGAUUAGAACUUACCCCUUCGCGGGGAUUUUUAUUAAAGAGCCCCUCGACUUCAUAGAUAUAGAACCCGCAGUCCUCGGCCAACUCCAGAUCCAGAUUGAAAUUUGAUUUAAAUUUCAUUUUCGACUUCAAAUUAAUUACAGAAUUGCCACUGCAAUGUUUUGGCCAUAAAAUAUUCGUUUUAGCUCCGAUUUGACCCGUUCAAAUUGCGUUAGAUUCGUUUUCGCGAGAUCUACAUGUUAGUAAUCUUGGUUCAUCAGUUUGAAAUAUUCUAAUUUUGUGACCCUAUUUAAUUAAUUACUUUUCUAAAGAAAAUCUUAGAAAAUUCAUAUCUUCUCUGUUUUAGCUCCGAUUCGAUCCGUUCAAGUUG